CCUACGGGUGGCAGCAGUAGGGAAUUUUCGUCAAUGGGCGCAAGCCUGAACGAGCAAUGCCGCGUGAACGAGGAAGGUCUUCGGAUCGUAAAGUUCUGUUGAAGGGGAAAAAGAGCGGAGAGAGGAAAUGAACUCCGAUUGAUAUUACCCUUCGAGGAAGUGACGGCUAACUACGUGCAAGCAGCCGCGGUAAUACGAAGGUGGCGAGCGUUAUCCGGAAUGAUUGGGCGUAAGGGGUUCGUAGGCGGCCUGCUAAGUCUGGAGGGACAGGUACCGGCUCAACCGGUACAGGCGCUGGAAACUGGCGGGCUAGAGAGCAGGAGAGGGCGGUGGAACUCCAGGUGUAGCGGUAAAAUGCGUAGAUAUAUGGAAGAACACCAGUGGCGAAGGCGGCCGCCUGGCCUGUUACUGACGCUGAGGCACGAAAGCGUGGGGAGCAAAUAGGAUUAGAUACCCGAGUAGUC
This 464-nucleotide ribosomal RNA is filed under the name uncultured bacterium. RNAcentral's name for it is "partial 16S ribosomal RNA". It matches the Rfam family "Bacterial small subunit ribosomal RNA", at positions 338 to 795 of the family's 1533-position model. The record is from RNAcentral.